UGAAAACUUAUUGGUGUUCCUUAAAAAGAAAAAGCAACAAAUCCAACAUUUGGAACAGACGGCAUCUUGAGGAGAGAAGAAGAAAGUCAAUAAGAAAUAAAACUAACCCAGUGGACUCAGUAAAGCCAAGAGGGCAGAAAUGACGUCUAAUGUUGAAACCGAGGAUGAGACCAUCAGUGGAAAGUCAGGAAACCCUCACGCUUUGAAAGUGACAGGGAAAGACCAGACCUUGACCACGAUGAAGACGAUUCGGACAGCUUGGUGUCAAAAAUAAGUCAAUAAGAAACCAACCUGCACCCCCCAGCAUCAACGCCACGAGCGCCUCAGUGUAAACACGGAACAUGAUGCGUUUCAUCUAGAUUGUUGCUGUGUGAAUCGCAUCCUGAAGGGAAAACAUUGGAGUUCACUUUGAGUGUCUUAUCUGAUGAUAAAUUAUAAGACGCUAUUGCAAUCUCUAUUUGGUUUGGAAGGAAUACCAAGGUUGCAGAUAUCGUAAAGUACAGAUCAUUUUGUGUACGUGGACGGCGGCUUCCAUGUUUCCCUGUUUAGAAUUCAGGAAGUACUCAAAUGUUAAGAUCGGUAUCUCUUCAUCAAAGGAGUCCUGCCUCAGAGAGACCACGGCAUGCAGUUAAAACACAAUGAAGCAGCAUGUUUUGAUGCAGGAGUGGCUAACGAUUGCUCAACAUGCUUGCAUUUCCUUUACAUAUUGAAUUCUGUUGGCAAAUCUUGUGCGUAGCCUCUUGAGUGGGUAAUACAGGGAACGAAGGCAUUGUAUUAUCUUGUAAAUGGUGUAGACUGAUUUGGCCUUUGCUUGUGUUUGAAAACCAUUUUUUUCUGUCUGAAAGGUGAGAUAUUGGUAUAUUGGUA
Acipenser ruthenus (sterlet) is the source of this 867-nucleotide long non-coding RNA. RefSeq lists it as uncharacterized. The transcript is spliced from 3 exons. The record is from RefSeq and is a predicted model, not a curated record. NCBI's taxonomy places the organism in Eukaryota, Metazoa, Chordata, Actinopteri, Acipenseriformes, Acipenseridae.